This 3144-nucleotide long non-coding RNA is filed under the name Triticum aestivum (bread wheat). RNAcentral describes it as "long non-coding RNA (TAES_LNC013427)". The record is from RNAcentral. Lineage: Eukaryota; Viridiplantae; Streptophyta; Magnoliopsida; Poales; Poaceae.
UUCACGGGCUGGGCCAUUGGUUGCGCCUAUUGGGCCUGGGCUGAUGGGAAGCAACAGAAGGCAGCAACUACAUAUACAAGCGAACGGGCUACGAACGACUCGGCUUGGAUCAGGACGGCUUCGGCCUCCUCUGCUUCUGUCUCUUCUUCCUCUCGUGUUCCUCUCCUCCUCUGUACUAGCUAAACCUUGGUGAAUCCAUGGCUUGUAGUUCAAGUCCUUGAGCAAUUGAUCUCUGUACUAGUGUGUUGCUAACAAUUGGUAUUCAGAGCCAAUUCCCACCACUCUUCUUCAAUUUCACCACUCAGCCUCAAUUCCAUGGAUUGGAAGGCACGACUGGUGAGCUCCAUCGAGGCGGCCGUGGAGGCGGCUGUGGAGACGGCCGUCAAUCGCGCGGUACAGACGGCCGUCAAGGAGACGCGUGCCUACACCGAUGGCUCAAGGCAACGCAUCGGCGAGAAGAUCAAAGAGAGACGCCAUGCUCGAGCGGUGGGCAUCCACAACGUCGUCGCCACCGCUUCCGACAUGCCUGCUGCGACCACCUCCGAGGCCUCCUUCAACUGCGGCGCCACUCUACAGCUCGGCAAAGAGCCGGGCGUGGCCGCGUCCAACAGCAUGGACCUUGCGGCCACGUUGCCCAGAAGGUGUUCGACACAGUGCCUAAGCCACGCCGUCACCGUGCCGGUGUCAACGACCGCUUCCGCCGUAACAACAGCUCCGUCCAACCUCACCGCCAGCGUCGACCCCGAGCGCUACUGCUUCGGCCUCGAGCUAAUGACCACGACCUCGACUCCGACCUCUACACUGGAUGUCUCGGGCGCAUGCUCAACAGCGGCGAACUCCCUCACUCACGGCGCCAUCUCCACCACCAUAAUUCCAGCGCCAGAGGCAACGGCGGUGAUGGCCAUGGACAUCUCCAUGCCGACCCCCGCGUCCGCAUCAGGCGACAUCAACUUCCCUGCAUCACCAACUUCGGGUACUUAUGAUGUCUGCAUCGUGCUCCCAGCCUCUAAAGUCCUGGGCGUCGACCCGAUCACCAGCGGAGAAGACCCCGUGGACAUGUUCCGGGCUUCGGGGAGUGCAGCCUUGAUCUUGUCUCAGGAGGACUCGCCAGCUCUGUUGUAUGAGCCACUGACAGUUUUUGAGCGAGACAUGUUACCGCCCACCACCUGUUCGACUGAGUGCUCAAGAAGCAAUCUGGAUGCACCAUCUCUUGCGUUCUCGAUUACUCAUAUCACAGCAACAAGGUUGUUGCCAGCAGCAGCAUCGUUUCUCGAUUUGGAGCUCAUGGUGCAAGCUUGGAUGUCACCAACAGCCUGCUCCUCCGUCUCGGUGCGUGAGGACGACAUCAACAGCAACAACACAUACACCAUGGAGGUGCCCAUGACCAAGGAUGACAUGUUCCUGACCAAUCCAGUAGUGCCAGCAGUCUCACAUGUCCACCCCCUGAAAUUGUUUGUUGACCGUCAGCUUCAGGCACACAAUCACUCUCAGUUGCAGCAAGGACCAACAUCAAUUUCAUCAUUGGAUGGUAUGGCAAUUGAUUCUAUCUUGUCUUUUCUUCCUUGUAGUCCUGAUGGUUGCUUGCAUGGAAACAAAACCCAAUUGCUCAUUGGCAGCUUUGUUGCUAGUACUGAUUCACCAUGGGACCCUGGACAACAAGCAUCCAUGUCCUUGUUGGGUGUUGGAGUGACAAAAAUUUCAUCGAACGACACUGUCAAGGACAACCAAAAACCCUUUUUCAGAUGGGAAAUUGCCUGGUUGUUCUACUUGGAAUAUCCUGAUAUUGGUAUUGACAAGGUCAAGCCACAAUUGUGUCCAGCAAGCAGAGAAAGUUUUGGAUUAAACCCACUGGAAUCAACACAAGCCAGUACUCAUGUAUUUUGCCCCAGCAGGAAGAAAGUUGUACAGUUGGUCAGACGACAGUUGUCGAUUCCUGAGUCUGAUGCUAGCAUAUUGUUACUCGAAGGACUACCUCUAUUUUCUAUUCACUUGACAGUGGGGUCAUCUGGUGCUGGAUCAGCCUGUUUAUGCAAUGGGAUUAUUACCAUCGCGUUCUGGACACACUUCAAACCGGGCAUGCUUACUCCAUUGCAUUACAAGGAUUUGAGCUUCUGGCGAUAUAUAAGUGUGGACCAGAUGAUGCAGAAAACUGGGCAUGUUAUUCAGUCUGGUCUGGAGCAUAUCCAAUGGAAGAUUGCAUGGUCGCUUAACUUGAAAAACUUAAAUGUUGUCAACCAGUCCGAGCAAACAAUUCUUGCCGCAACAUACCCUAAGUUGUAUUUUCCGUGGCACCCAGGCGAUGACCUAGUACAACAUAUCCUCUUGCUGGAGGUCAGCUGCCUAAACUGCAAAAGGCUCAUUGUUGAUGCUGCUACACAAUAUGAUUUUGAAUGUUUUGCUUGGGAAUUUGCAUGGUCACUUCACUCAGUGUGUUGUGCUGGCAUGGCAAAUACUGUACCAUUUCAGUUCUCUGUUUCUAUUGCCAUGAGGAGCUUCCGGAGCCUCGAGUUUUGUCAAGGGAAGUUGUCAUGGGAUCCAGGCAUCGGGGCCCUUCUCUAUUUCUUCGGAUUUUAUGCUCAAACUGAAGUAACAGGAAGGAGGAAUCUUAUAGCUCCAGCUUUCUACUCAGACAGUGUCUGUGUCGACCGCCCCUACUACCUCGACGCAUUUUCUGACCAAGUGAACAUCAGCGACGAGUAUUUCCUUGAGCAAGUCGGCGUUGUAUGCUCCCUCAAUCUCGCCAAGUUCCGCCUCAACUACGGCACCCACUACGACCUCGGCGAAGUUUUGAAGCAUCAAGCACCAUGGGAUCUAGGAGGUUCGACAUGGCAUCGGCUUGAGGUCAAGCCGAAUUUCAAGGAAGGGGGAAUGUUAGCGACCAACCGUACACUCUUCACGGGCUGGGCCAUUGGUUGCGCCUAUUGGGCCUGGGCUGAUGGGAAGCAACAGAAGGCAACAACUACAUAUACAAGCGAACGGGCUACGAACGACUCGGCUUGGAUCAGGACGGCUUCGGCCUCCUCUGCUUCUGUCUCUUCUUCCUCUCGUGUUCCUCUCCUCCUCUGUACUAGCUAAACCUUGGUGAAUCCAUGGCUUGUAGUUCAAGUCCUUGAGCAAUUGAUCUCUGUACUAGUGUGUUGCUAA